This 602-nucleotide ribosomal RNA is filed under the name uncultured bacterium. RNAcentral describes it as "bacterial SSU rRNA". It matches the Rfam family "Bacterial small subunit ribosomal RNA", at positions 185 to 804 of the family's 1533-position model. The record is from RNAcentral.
ACCGCAUGGUACUGAGGGAAAAGGAUUUAUUCGCUUUAGGAUGGACUCGCGUCCAAUUAGCUAGUUGGUGAGGUAACGGCCCACCAAGGCGACGAUUGGUAGCCGGACUGAGAGGUUGAACGGCCACAUUGGGACUGAGACACGGCCCAGACUCCUACGGGAGGCAGCAGUGGGGGAUAUUGCACAAUGGGGGAAACCCUGAUGCAGCGACGCCGCGUGGAGGAAGAAGGUUUUCGGAUUGUAAACUCCUGUCGUUAGGGACGAUAAUGACGGUACCUAACAAGAAAGCACCGGCUAACUACGUGCCAGCAGCCGCGGUAAAACGUAGGGUGCAAGCGUUGUCCGGAAUUACUGGGUGUAAAGGGAGCGCAGGCGGGAAGACAAGUUGGAAGUGAAAACCAUGGGCUCAACCCAUGAAUUGCUUUCAAAACUGUUUUUCUUGAGUAGUGCAGAGGUAGAUGGAAUUCCCGGUGUAGCGGUGGAAUGCGUAGAUAUCGGGAGGAACACCAGUGGCGAAGGCGGUCUACUGGGCACCAACUGACGCUGAGGCUCGAAAGCAUGGGUAGCAAACAGGAUUAGAUACCCUGGUAGUCCAUGCCGUA